RNAcentral lists this ribosomal RNA (253 nucleotides) under uncultured bacterium. RNAcentral's name for it is "partial 16S ribosomal RNA". It matches the Rfam family "Bacterial small subunit ribosomal RNA", at positions 524 to 776 of the family's 1533-position model. The record is from RNAcentral.
UACGGAGGGGGCAAGCGUUGUUCGGAUUUACUGGGCGUAAAGGGCGCGUAGGCGGCUUUGUAAGUUACUUGUGAAAUCUCUGAGCUUAACUCAGAACUGCCAAGUAAUACUGCAGGGCUAGAGUGCAGAAGGGGCUACUGGAAUUCUUGGUGUAGAGGUGAAAUGCGUAGAUAUCAAGAGGAACACCUGUGGCGAAGGCGGGUUGCUGGGCUGUCACUGACGCUGAGGCGCGAAAGCUAGGGGAGCAAACAGG